RNAcentral lists this non-coding RNA (153 nucleotides) under Platyophrya macrostoma. Lineage: Eukaryota; Ciliophora; Colpodea; Cyrtolophosidida; Platyophryidae. The record is from RNAcentral.
CAAUUCCAAGUACCCAAAAGAGAAAGAAAAAAACAAAACAAAAGAAACAAUGUGACUUCUCUACCCUUUUUCAAAAAAACUUCAAGAAUAUUUCAUUUUCUCAUGUGUUCACCUACUAUCAAUUGCUAUCAUUCUUCGUCCUUAACGUGUGUG